Molecule: ribosomal RNA, 358 nt
Filed under: uncultured bacterium
Lineage: Bacteria
Description: bacterial SSU rRNA
Rfam family: Bacterial small subunit ribosomal RNA
Source: RNAcentral
AGCGAACGCUGGCGGCAGGCCUAACACAUGCAAGUCGAACGGGCACCUUCGGGUGUCAGUGGCAGACGGGUGAGUAACACGUGGGAACGUGCCCUUUGGUUCGGAACAACUCCGGGAAACUGGAGCUAAUACCGGAUAAGCCCUUCGGGGGAAAGAUUUAUCGCCAAAGGAUCGGCCCGCGUCUGAUUAGCUUGUUGGUGAGGUAAUGGCUCACCAAGGCGACGAUCAGUAGCUGGUCUGGAGAGGAUGAUCAGCCACACUGGGACUGAGACACGGCCCAGACUCCUACGGGAGGCAGCAGUGGGGAAUAUUGGACAAUGGGCGCAANCCUGAUCCAGCCAUGCCGCGUAGAGUGAUG